This 254-nucleotide ribosomal RNA is filed under the name uncultured bacterium. Its description in RNAcentral is "partial 16S ribosomal RNA". It matches the Rfam family "Bacterial small subunit ribosomal RNA", at positions 524 to 776 of the family's 1533-position model. The record is from RNAcentral.
GACGUAGGGCGCGAGCGUUGUCCGGAUUUAUUGGGCGUAAAGAGCUCGUAGGCGGCUUGUCGCGUCAACUGUGAAAACCCGUGGCUCAACCAUGUGGUCUGCAGUCGAUACGGGCAGGCUAGAAUUCGGUAGGGGAGACUGGAAUUCCUGGUGUAGCGGUGAAAUGCGCAGAUAUCAGGAGGAACACCGAUGGCGAAGGCAGGACUCUGGGCCACUACUGACGCUGAGAAGCGAAAGCGUGGGGAGCGAACAGG